This 4747-nucleotide long non-coding RNA is filed under the name Sus scrofa (pig). RNAcentral describes it as "lncRNA (ENSSSCG00060051915.1)". Lineage: Eukaryota; Metazoa; Chordata; Mammalia; Artiodactyla; Suidae. The record is from RNAcentral.
GUGUUUUGCUACAAUGGCUGUCUUUAUUGUACAUCAUUUUGUAACUAAAAAAAAAAAAAAAGAAAAGUGAGACAUUUUUCUUAUACUGUGCAUUUCUGAGGUGUCUUCUGUUCUUUACUGAGAGUGACUCAUGGCAUUCUAGGCAGAAGUAAAAUUGUAAUUAUCUGCCUAACAAACAUCCAGGGUAUUCACAUAGCCUCCUUGACUUUCAGUGAACUAAGACAAACUCUUUUUCAGCAGCUUUCAAACAUCUUGGUCUUAGAAUCCCUUUAUACUCUUAAAUUAUUGAGGAUCCCAAAGAGCUUUUGUUAUUUAUCAUCUUAGAAAUGAAACUUUAAAUAUUUAAUAAUUUAAAAAUAAUCAUAAAACCAUAAACUGUUAACACAGUAACAUUUAAAAAUGAAAAAUAAUUAUAUUUUGCAACACAUUUAGUAAGAAGAGCAGCAUCAUUUUAAAUGUGUACAAAUUUCUUUAAUGUCUGACUUAAUAGAAGACAGCUGGAUUCUCAUAUUUGUUCUGCAUUCAUCUCUGGUAAAAUGUUUUGAUUGAACUAUAUCUAGAAAAUCUAGCUUCACAGAUAUGUAGUUGGAAAAGUGAGGGGUAUUUUAAAAGCCUUUUCAGAUAAUUGUGGAUAUUUAUCUUUGAUACUGCACCAAAGCUCGACAAGUGGUAGUUUCUUAAAGGUGAUUUUCAAUGUGAAAUCUGAAACUAUUAUCAAUGAACUUUUUGUAGUUUGUUAUAUUAAAAUUUAUCGGCAUGUCUUGUACUUUGCUAAAUCUUUUAUCUAUGCAUGAUUUUGUAAUUUCAUGUCAUUUAGAAAAUAUUGGUUCACUGAGUUAUGUUUAUCAUAUAUAAUAUUAGAAAUCGCAUUUGUUAAUUAUAACACUGACCUCUUCAGAGGAGUAAGUGCUUAAGUAUUAGGAAGCUAUGAAGCUCACAAUAGUGGAUAAAAUUUUCGAGCAUUCUAAUUUUCAUUAACAGUUACCUUUGGCAACAAUACUGCCAUCCCUCCCCCCCGCACACUCCGGGGUUAUAGACUCUCUUACUUUUGAGAAAAUACCAAGUACCCAAGUCUGAAUAAACCAUAGCUUGUUUGCAGAUUUUUCUUUCAGAUAAAAAUGCUGUUCCAUGAGAAAACCUGCGGUAGUUCAACUUGCAACUAAAUUGCAACUCAAAGUAUCAUGAGAAUCCACAGUCCUUUGUUUGGAAUGCAGCAAAAGUGCUUUAUGCAUACUUUCCAUUUUAUAACAUAGAAUAUUAAAAAGGCUUGUUUGUACUCAAGGGUUGAGAUGUAAUAAAAUUAUUUCUAUUGACUCAUUAAGGACAUUCUUUUCUUUUUUUUUUUGUUUUUUUGUCCUUUUAGGGCUGCACUUGGGGCAUAUGGAGUCCCAGACUAGGGGUCUAAUCAGAGUUGUAGCUGCUGGCCUACACCACAGCCACAGCAAUGCCAGAUCUGAGCCAUGGCUGCGACCUACAUCACAGGUCAUGGCAACACUGGAUCCUUGGCCCACUGAGCGAGGCCAGGAAUCAAACCUGCAAUCUCAUGGUUCCUAGUUGGAUUCAUUUCCACUGUGCCAAGACGGGAACUCCUUAUUAAGGACAUUCUUAAGUGAAACUAGCUUUCCUGCCUGCAGGGUGGUGAAUGACAGUGAUAGAGUGGUUUUAUGCCAUUAUAUAUAUAUAUUUUAAAAUUUACCAUUGUGAUGUAGAUUAUGUCUUAAAAUUUCAUUUAUUAAACUAUAGUUGAUUUACAAUAUUAUGUUAGUUUCAGGUUUACAGCAUCAGAUUCUUUUCCAUUAUAGAUAUAUACAUUCAAUGUAUUGAAUGUAGUUCCAUGUAUUAUACAGUAAAUCCUUGUUAUUUUAUAUAUAGUCUGUGUAUCUAUUAAUCCCAUACUGUUAAUUUAUCCCUCCCCCUUUCCUUCCCGCUUUGGUAAACAUAAGUUUGUUUUCAAUGUCUGUGGGUCUGUUUUUGUUUUGUAAAUAAGUUGAUUUGUCUUACCUUUUUGGAUUCUACAUGUAAGUGAUGUAAUAUUUGUCUUUCUCUGAGUGACUUCAUUUAUAUAAUUUCUAGGUCCAUUCAUGUGGCUGCAGAUGGCAAUAUUUCAUUCUUUUUUUCUUAGAAAAUAUUGCCAACUGCAGCCAUAUGAAUGGACCUAUAUGUAUUUGAAUGGACAGAGAUGGAUUGAUCUAUCUAUCUAUCUAUAUCACAUCUUCUUUAUCCAUUCAUCUGUUGAUGGACAUUUAGGUUGCUUCCAUGCCUUGGCUAUUGUAAAUAAUUCUGCUCUGAACAUUGAAGUCUGUAUAUCUUUUUGAAUUAGAGUUUUCAUCUUUUCUGGAUGUAUGUCUGGGAGUGGGAAUGCUGGAUCAUAAGGUAAUGCUAUUUUUAGGUUUUUAAGGAACCUCCAGAUUGUUUUCCAUAGUGGCUGCACUGGUUUACAAUACCACCAGCAAUGUCGGAGGGUUCUCUUUUCUCCACUCCCUAUUUAUCGUUUAUUUGUAGACUUUUUAAUGAUGGUCAUUCUGACCAGUGUGAGGUGAUAAUUCAUUGUAGUUUUGAUUUGCAUUUCUCUAGUAAUUAGAGAUGUUGAGCAUCUUUUCAUGUGCCUGUUGGGCCAUCUCUUUGUCUUCUUUGGAGAAAUGUCUGUUUAGGCCUUCUGCCCAUUUUUUGAUUGGGUUAUUUGCUUUUUUGAUACUUAAAUUUGGCAAUAUAUUGACAAGACUAUAGGGAAAAAGAAAAAAAAAUUUUUUUCUUUUUAUGGCUGCACCUGCAGCAUAUGGAAGUUACCACGCUAGUGGUUGAGUUGCCUGAGCUGUCUGUAUUUUUGGAAAUUAAUCUCCUGUUGGUUGCAUCAUUUGAGAUAUUUUUCAACCUAGUUCAUAGGUUGUCUCUUUGUUUUUAUUGAUGGUUUUCUUGGCUGUGCAAAAACGUAUAAGUUUGAUUAAGUCCCAUUUGUUUAUUUUUGUUUUUAUUUCUUUUGCCUUGGGAGACUGAAGUAAGAAAUAUAACUGUGACUUAUAUCUGAGAAUGUUUUACCUAUGUUCUUUUCUAGGAGUUUUAUGGUAUCAUCUUAUAUUUAAGUCUUUAAGCCAUUUUGAGUUUAUUUGUGUUUAUGGUGUGAGGAAAUUUUCUAAUUUCAUUGAUUUAUGUGUGCCACUGUCUUUAUAAGCGCUAGGGUGGGCAGCUGUUUUGAGAAUUGUCUCUUGGUUUCACACAACCUUCCUCAACCUCCUCUCUUCCUCAGCCUCCAUCUCUUUCUCUUCCUAAACUUGAAGAGGGGUUCAUGAAUUAGGAGUGUUCAACUUCUCCUCCCAGGAACUGAAAACAGUACAGUGGAGGAGGAUCAAGAAGUUACCUGAGAAAGAAGAGAAGGAGGAUAGAGAUGUAGGGGGUGGGGAGAGUGAGUGAGUGAGAUUUGAAUUAUGUUCUCCAUCUGACUGUAUUGCAGUUUUAGCAAUCUACGUGUCAGAACUUACUUUUCAGUGUUAAGAGUGGAAAAAGCAUUUCUAACAAUGACUUCAGAAAUUACACAAAAAAUUUGCAAUUUUUUAAAAGAAGCACUUCUACAUGACAAAAAACAAAAACAAAAAGCAAAAAACAACCCUACCAUUAAGUCAAGACAAAUAUUUGUAACCUAUUUUGAACAAAGGACUAAUAAUGGCUGGAAGAUAUAAACAGAUAUUUCAUGGAAAAGGAAAUAUGAACGGCUCCUUAAACUCAUGAAAAGAUGUUCAGCCUCACUUGUCAUAGUAAAAAUUACAGCUACAAUGAAACACUAUUUCCCACUUAAUUAUGAUUCAGACUUUUUUUCUUUUUACAGCUGCACCUGCAGCAUGUGGAAGUUACCAGGCUAGGGGUUGAAUUGGAGCUGCAGUUGCAGGCCUAUGCCACAUCCACAGCAACACUGGAUCUGAGCUCCAUCUGCAACCUAUGCAGCUUGUGGCAACGCUGGAUCCUUAACCCACUGAGCCAGGCUAGGGAUCAAGCCCACAUCCUCACAGAUGCUAUGUUGGGUUCCCAACCUGCUGAGCCACAAUGGGAACUCCAGGAAAAAGAAAUUUUUGUACCCUGUUUGUACAGAUAUAAAUUGGCAUAUCCCCUGUGGAGGGCAAUUUAGAAAUAUCUACUGAAAUAACAAAUUGACCUUUGCUACAGCAGUUCCACUCCCGGGAAUUUUUCCUAUAGAUUGACUUGCAUAUGCCUAUAUGUGAAAUGACAUUUAAACAAAGGGUUUUUUGUUUUUUUGUAUUGGUUGUAUUUGCAAAAGUUUAGAAACAGCUGCCCACAGUCGGAACCAAUAACAAUACUUGGCAUGUUGAGGGAGUUAAUGGUAAUGGGCAAAUUGGGGACAGGAAUAGGAGGAAGACUUUUCAUUGUAUAUCUAUCUCCAUAUAUUUUAUUUUGAAGAAAAUAUAUUUAUCAUUACAUUUAAAGGAUUAAAAAAUGCUUUAUACCACCUGGCAAGUACUAAAUUUCUCCUUUAUGGUUAUUAAGAUAGAAAAUGGAGAGAAAAAGAAUCCAUCUGUUUUCUGCUGAAGUGAAAUUGAAAUUAUGUACCUAGGAGUUCCUGUCCUGGCUCAGUGGAAAUGAAUCUGACUAGUAUCCAUGUGGACGCAGGUUCAGUCCUUGGCCUCACUCAGAGGGUUAAGGAUUUGGCAUUGUGAUCUAGGUCGCAGCCGAGGCUUGGAUCUGGCAUUGCUGUGGCUGGGGUAGGCCAGCGGCUACAGCUUCGAUUUGACCCCUAGCC